AUACGGAGGAUCCGAGCGUUAUCCGGAUUUAUUGGGUUUAGAGGGAGCGUAGGUGGACUGGUAAGUCAGUUGUGAAAGUUUGCGGCUCAACCGUAAAAUUGCAGUUGAUACUGUCAGUCUUGAGUACAGUAGAGGUGGGCGGAAUUCGUGGUGUAGCGGUGAAAUGCUUAGAUAUCACGAAGAACUCCGAUUGCGAAGGCAGCUCACUGGACUGCAACUGACACUGAUGCUCGAAAGUGUGGGUAUCAAACAGGAUUAGAUACCCUGGUAGUCCACACAGUAAACGAUGAAUACUCGCUGUUUGCGAUAUACAGUAAGCGGCCAAGCGAAAGCAUUAAGUAUUCCACCUGGGGAGUACGCCGGCAACGGUGAAACUCAAAGGAAUUGACGGGGGCCCGCACAAGCGGAGGAACAUGUGGUUUAAUUCGAUGAUACGCGAGGAACCUUACCCGGGCUUAAAUUGCAGUGGAAUGAUGUGGAAACAUGUCAGUGAGCAAUCACCGCUGUGAAGGUGCUGCAUGGUUGUCGUCAGCUCGUGCCGUGAGGUGUCGGCUUAAGUGCCAUAACGAGCGCAACCCUUAUCUUCAGUUACUAACAGGUCAUGCUGAGGACUCUGGAGAGACUGCCGUCGUAAGAUGUGAGGAAGGUGGGGAUGACGUCAAAUCAGCACGGCCCUUACGUCCGGGGCUACACACGUGUUACAAUGGGGGGUACAGAAGGCAGCUAGCGGGUGACCGUAUGCUAAUCCCAAAAUCCUCUCUCAGUUCGGAUCGAAGUCUGCAACCCGACUUCGUGAAGCUGGAUUCGCUAGUAAUCGCGCAUCAGCCACGGCGCGGUGAAUACGUUCCCGGGCCUUGUACACACCGCCCGUCAAGCCAUGGGAGCCGGGGGUACCUGAAGUACGUAACCGCAAGGAUCGUCCUAGGGUAAAACUGGUGAUUGGGGCU
Molecule: ribosomal RNA, 947 nt
Filed under: uncultured bacterium
Lineage: Bacteria
Description: bacterial SSU rRNA
Rfam family: Bacterial small subunit ribosomal RNA
Source: RNAcentral